Pelobates cultripes (western spadefoot toad) is the source of this 230-nucleotide non-coding RNA. The record is from the annotation of a GenBank genome assembly. Lineage: Eukaryota; Metazoa; Chordata; Amphibia; Anura; Pelobatidae.
GGCAUACUAUGCAGGCAGCACCCUGAGCUUGACAUAAAUGAGUCUAAUGAUGCACCUACUCCAAGCUUUCUAAGGACUGUCCCCUAGCACUCACAUGUCCACUUGUCUCCUUACCUUCUUACUAGCAGGCAGACGUUCCUGAUAUAUAGUCUGGGACAGAGUAAAGGUGUAUGUAGUGAGUGUAGUGUAUGUAGUGAGUGUAGAAGAAAGGGGACAUGCCCCAGUGUUAG